AAUGAACGCUGGCGGCGUGCUUUACACAUGCAAGUUGAGCGAGGCCACCCGCAAGGGUGAGUCGAGCGGCGAACGGGUGAGUAACGCGUGGAUAACCUGCCCUGAGGUGGGGAAUAACCCGGGGAAACUCGGGCUAAUACCGCAUGAUACCAAGCGGUCAAAGGGGGCGUCGCAAGAGCUCCUGCCACAGGAGGGGUCCGCGUUCGAUUAGCUAGUUGGUAGGGUAAUGGCCUACCAAGGCGACGAUCGGUAGCUGGUCUGAGAGGACGACCAGCCACACUGGGACUGAGACACGGCCCAGACUCCUACGGGAGGCAGCAGGUGGGGAAUAUUGGACAAUGGGCGCAAGCCUGAUCCAGCGAUGCCGCGUGUGUGAAGAAGGCCUGC
RNAcentral lists this ribosomal RNA (387 nucleotides) under uncultured bacterium. RNAcentral's name for it is "bacterial SSU rRNA". It matches the Rfam family "Bacterial small subunit ribosomal RNA", at positions 29 to 419 of the family's 1533-position model. The record is from RNAcentral.